RNAcentral lists this ribosomal RNA (399 nucleotides) under Mallomonas annulata. RNAcentral describes it as "partial small subunit ribosomal RNA". It matches the Rfam family "Eukaryotic small subunit ribosomal RNA", at positions 30 to 432 of the family's 1831-position model. Lineage: Eukaryota; Synurophyceae; Synurales; Mallomonadaceae. The record is from RNAcentral.
GCUUGUCUCAAAGAUUAAGCCAUGCAUGUCUAAGUAUAAACAACUUUAUACUGUGAAACUGCAGAUGGCUCAUUAAAUCAGUUAUAAUCUAUUUGAUGAUUACUUACUACAUGGAUAACCGUGGUAAUUCUAGAGCUAAUACAUGCGCAAAGUCCCAACUUUCGGGGAGGGAUGUAUUUAUUAGACGAAAAACCAAUGCGGGUUCUGCCCGGUUUUGCGGUGAUUCAUAAUAACUUUCGGAUCGAUCUUCGGAUCGAUGCAUCAUUCAAGUUUCUGCCCUAUCAGCUUUGGAUGGUAGGGUAUUGGCCUACCAUGGCUUUAACGGGUAACGGAGAAUUAGGGUUCGAUUCCGGAGAGGGAGCCUGAGAAAUGGCUACCACAUCCAAGGAAGGCAGCAGG